This 1491-nucleotide long non-coding RNA is filed under the name Homo sapiens (human). RNAcentral describes it as "non-protein coding lnc-PAPD7-2:3". The record is from RNAcentral. Lineage: Eukaryota; Metazoa; Chordata; Mammalia; Primates; Hominidae.
GUUGACAGAGAGUUGAAGACUCCCGUGCUUCUGGGAAUAGUCAUUGUGAGCAUGUGGUCAGCCCGGUUGCUAGAAUUCUUCCCAUGAGCAGCUUCAGGGGCUGACUGUGGCCUCAUGCCCAGUACCUUUAGCCAUUUUAAUUUACCAAACCUCAUUGUCCCAUUCUCUUUUCAGGUUCUUGGCCAUAAAAUAUGGCUUUUGGAAAAAUAAAGCUGAGACUUGGAGUUCACGGUGGGGGCUCCCCCAUCUGUGAACAGAAGCAGAAGUUUGGAACUGCCUUCUUUACUGCUCGAGAGGGAAAACUUGAGUGAAAACCAGGAUGCUGGCGAAUGUUGAGUAGCUAAGCUGCACAGGAAAUACCACUUGAUGACCUGCGAUCUGGGGAAGCCGCGCCAGGGCUCUGCGAAGCUGCGGACGAGGGAGGCGUCAGUGUGGGGGCUGCAGCUCAGCUCCGGGGGGGACGCGCCUUUCUCCACGGGACCUGGGGCUCAGGUGCUCACGAGGCUGGGGCGCUGCAGGCCACCCGCAGGGGAAACUGAGGCCCUCCAUUUUGUGGGGCUGGAAGACCUUUCCUUCCAAAAGCAGGUGUAGGCGGGAGCACCUGUGCAGUCCCUCUGUUCAGAUCCUCACCCACUUUUAAAUCAGGUAAUUGCUUUUCUUGUUAUUGCAUUGAGUUCCUUAUGUAUUUUAGAUCGCCGGGUACCCUUCAUUUUACUCCUGAGGCUGUAACUUGGACAAAGCGCUUUCUGCUGCUUUGGAUGAAAAAUUCUUUUCCUCCACAGGAAACAGCAGAUGAAAUGCACAGUGUGAAGGACAAGGAUUCUGCUGAGAGAAUUGCUCCGAGGGUUGCUCAAGUGAUCAUGGGAAAUAAUGCAUCAAACCAUUCUUUAGGUAUUUUUUUAAAUUAGGAGGUAAAAAAUCUGUGCUGUUUGCCAAAAUGAUUCUUACACAGACAAGCUAGGAAAAUUGCUCUGAAACAUGACACAGACUCCUGAUUUGGCCCAACUAGGGUGUGAAGGAUGAAAUCCAUCCUGAGCCCUUCAUCCCUCUGCUUUCUCUGGUGCAGAUGCAGCUCAGGUGUGCCUUUUCUUCGCCUGUGCCCAUCCACCUGAGAUGGACCAUAACCAUAAAAGUCAGAAGGCACUGACCCUUCAGGACGUGACAGGGUUAAAAGAUGCUGGAGGGAAAGUCUGUCAUUGACUUUUAUUCACUUCCUUUCUCCAUUCUGCCAUUUGGAAGAAGGUAAGCAACUUAACACUAUUUUAGACCAUAUGUUGUAAACUAGCAGGAAAAUGCCUUUGAGCUGAUGAUGGUGGCCCGAACACAGUGAACCUGUCUUAAAUCCCUGCUUUAAACCCUUAAGGGUGUCACUUACAAGAGAUACUAUUUGAAGUCUUCCCAUGCAUGUGUAGGGUGGGGGGAGUACCAACAGCUCAUCGAAUGGGCUCCAUUUGAAAGAUCUGGAUGGUUGCCUUUAUUUGUAACUAGUUU